This is a long non-coding RNA of Oxyura jamaicensis (ruddy duck), 980 nucleotides long. RefSeq lists it as uncharacterized. Lineage: Eukaryota; Metazoa; Chordata; Aves; Anseriformes; Anatidae. The transcript is spliced from 2 exons. The record is from RefSeq and is a predicted model, not a curated record.
GGUGGUGGUUGGAAAAUUGUAGAUUAAAUCUUAUUUCAUUACAGAAAGUAGAAGUUAGCUUGAUUGCAGUGCUGUAAGAAUUUCCUAGGGGAAAUUAAAUUUGAUAAUCUCAAGGUGUUUUCCAGAAGAUGCCAUGCAUUCAGUAAUGUUCAUUAUAGUUUGCAGAAUACCAGAUAGAAUUUAAAGUGAAGACUCCCACGGUUUAAUCAAUAUAGACAUUCUAAAUUGUUCACGGUAUAAAGACCUGAUUAUGAAACAAAGAUGCAGUUAAAAGGGAAGCCACAGUACUUUGGGUGGAUUUUUCUUCCUAUAUAAACUGGUUGGUUCAUAGCUAAGGUGAAUAUUGACUGCCAGAUCUCCAAAACAAUUCUUGAAGCAGUAACAGAAAGUGCAUUGUGCCUGUUUUCACUGAAUGAUUCUUACAGCCAGGGUACCAAAUAUUUUGGAGAUUACUUGCUACAAGAUUUGAAACCUACACAUCAGCAACAUAAAUCAUUAAGUUAAGGCAAACAAUUACAAAACAGAUUUGAAAUGAUUUCUUUGGAAGAUCAUGAAGAGUAUGAAGAUUUCGAUUAAUAUAUAUAUGUAUAUAUGUAUACCUAUACAUCAGCUGUCUGGUACCUGUCCACAUUUUAAGCAAUAAAUAAAAGAAUAUACAACAUAAACUGAAUUUGGUGUUUGUUAUCAUCUGGCAAGCGCUAAAGGACUGAGAUGACACAUCAGCAGUUCAAAGCACAAAGAAAACGAAUCUUCAGUUUCGAGUAAAUGAAUUUGCAGCAUCUGUGGUAUCUUUAGAUAAAAGAAGUUGCCAAAUUGCUAAUUGCAAAUAUAAUCUGGAGUAGCAGGUUUCAGUGCUGGUAAGGAAAAGCUGCCUAAACAAAUGACUUCAGCUAAAGCCAAAGAAGACACUGCCCCUCUCAAAUGCUUGGACAAAGAUCAAGGAGGGUGGGGGGUAGGACUAAGAGAAGGACCUGAAAUUU